RNAcentral lists this unclassified non-coding RNA (174 nucleotides) under plant metagenome. Its description in RNAcentral is "partial contains small subunit ribosomal RNA, internal transcribed spacer 1, and 5.8S ribosomal RNA". The record is from RNAcentral.
UUUCCGUAGGUGAACCAGCGGAAGGAUCAUUACAAAAUGUUAUGGGAUGUCCUAACGGGCACCCAAGCAAACCCAUCCAUAUUAAACAUUUGAAACAAUUACUAGUCUGAUAAGGCCAUAUGCUGUAAAAAUUUAAAUAUAUUAAAACUUUCAACAACGGAUCUCUUGGCUCUC